AAUAGAUACCCAGGUAGUCCACGCCCUAAACGAUGUCAACUAGCUGUUGGGGCCUUCGGGCCUUGGUAGCGCAGCUAACGCGUGAAGUUGACCGCCUGGGGAGUACGGUCGCAAGAUUAAAACUCAAAGGAAUUGACGGGGACCCGCACAAGCGGUGGAUGAUGUGGAUUAAUUCGAUGCAACGCGAAAAACCUUACCUACCCUUGACAUGUCUGGAAUCCUGAAGAGAUUUAGGAGUGCUCGCAAGAGAACCGGAACACAGGUGCUGCAUGGCUGUCGUCAGCUCGUGUCGUGAGAUGUUGGGUUAAGUCCCGCAACGAGCGCAACCCUUGUCAUUAGUUGCUACGAAAGGGCACUCUAAUGAGACUGCCGGUGACAAACCGGAGGAAGGUGGGGAUGACGUCAAGUCCUCAUGGCCCUUAGUGGGUAGGGCUUCACACGUCAUACAAUGGUCGGGACAGGAGGGUCGCCCAACCCGGCGGAGGGGGAGCCAAUCCCGAACGAAACCCGAUCGUAGUCCGGAUCGCAGUCUGCAACUCGA
RNAcentral lists this ribosomal RNA (541 nucleotides) under uncultured bacterium. Its description in RNAcentral is "bacterial SSU rRNA". It matches the Rfam family "Bacterial small subunit ribosomal RNA", at positions 777 to 1315 of the family's 1533-position model. The record is from RNAcentral.